AUUGAACGCUGGCGGCAGGCCUAACACAUGCAAGUCGAACGAGUGGCGGACGGGUGAGUAAUGUCUGGGAAACUGCCUGAUGGAGGGGGAUAACUACUGGAAACGGUAGCUAAUACCGCAUACCAUCAGAUGUGCCCAGAUGGGAUUAGCUAGUUGGUGGGGUAACGGCUCACCAAGGCGACGAUCCCUAGCUGGUCUAAGAGGUUGACAAGCCAAACUGGAACUGAGAAACGGUCCAGACUCCUAAGGGAGGCAGCAGGAGGGAAGGUGGCACAAUGGGCGGAAGCCUGAUGCAGCCAUUCCAAGUGUAUGAAGAAGGCCUUCGGGUUGUAAAGUACUUUCAGCGGGGAGGCGUGACGCGGAGAAGAAGCACCGGCUAACUCCGUGCCAGCCGCCGCGGUAAUUC
This 406-nucleotide ribosomal RNA is filed under the name uncultured bacterium. RNAcentral's name for it is "partial 16S ribosomal RNA". It matches the Rfam family "Bacterial small subunit ribosomal RNA", at positions 30 to 526 of the family's 1533-position model. The record is from RNAcentral.